AACUCUGAACCUGAAGAGAAAAAUUAGGGCAGACAGGCGACUAGCGAGCAGCAGACAGGUGGGACGGGCGAUGGCACUCAACUCCUCACUCACUCCUCACAACUCCUCUGUAAUUUACUUGAAAUAUAUGUUUCUUCAUAAUUUACUUGAAAGCUUUCUGCUUUUUUUAUAUGGGAGGUGUACACUAUAUAGAGAUGGAGAUGAUAUUAGGUAGAUGGGUUUUAGACUUUACAUUAAUUACAAUAGUUGUCUACAUAUGUUUGCUUUGUUAUAAUUCUGCUCUAACUGUAAGUUUGAAAUUGAAAUCCCGAGA
This 313-nucleotide long non-coding RNA is filed under the name Nicotiana benthamiana. RNAcentral describes it as "long non-coding RNA (NBEN_LNC009220)". Lineage: Eukaryota; Viridiplantae; Streptophyta; Magnoliopsida; Solanales; Solanaceae. The record is from RNAcentral.